UACGUAGGGGGCUAGCGUUGUCCGGAAUCAUUGGGCGUAAAGCGCGUGUAGGCGGUCCGGUAAGUCCGCUGUGAAAGUCGGGGGCUCAACCCUCGAAUGCCGGUGGAUACUGUCGGGCUAGAGUGCGGAAGAGGCGAGUGGAAUUCCUGGUGUAGCGGUGAAAUGCGUAGAGAUCGGGAGGAACACCCGUGGCGAAGGCGGCCACCUGGGCCGACCCUGACGCUGAGGCGCGAAGGCGUGGGGAGCGAACGGG
RNAcentral lists this ribosomal RNA (253 nucleotides) under uncultured bacterium. RNAcentral's name for it is "partial 16S ribosomal RNA". It matches the Rfam family "Bacterial small subunit ribosomal RNA", at positions 524 to 776 of the family's 1533-position model. The record is from RNAcentral.